This 421-nucleotide ribosomal RNA is filed under the name uncultured archaeon. RNAcentral's name for it is "partial 16S ribosomal RNA". It matches the Rfam family "Archaeal small subunit ribosomal RNA", at positions 323 to 746 of the family's 1478-position model. The record is from RNAcentral.
CUACGGGACGCACCAGGUAGGAAUCUUUUGCAAUGCGCGCAAGCGUGACAAAGCGAGCCAGAGUGCUUUUCAACUGAAAAGCUUUUGCCAAAUCUAAAAAUUUUGGCGAAUAAGGACUGGGUAAGACUAGUGCCAGCCGCCGCGGUAAUACUAGCGGUCCAAGUCGCAGCCAUUAUUAUUGGGUCUAAAACAUCCGUAGCUUGCUUAAUAAGUUCCUUGUGAAAUCUUAUCUCUUAAGGGUAAGGCGUGCGAGGAGUACUGUUGAGCUAGAGACUGGAAGACGUAAAAAGUAUGUUCAAAGUAACGGUAAAAUGUGUUAAUCUUGAGCAGACUCACAACAGCGAAGGCAUUUUACGAGGACAGUUCUGACAGUAAAGGAUGAAGGCUAGGGGCGCAAAACGGAUUAGAUACCCUUGUAGUC